UUACUAUAAUGAUGAGAAACAUUUUCAAUUAUUAUACAGUUAUCCCUGUCUUAAUAAAUUAUGUCGAGAACUUUUAAUCUGAGAUUUAA
RNAcentral lists this small nucleolar RNA (89 nucleotides) under Spathaspora passalidarum NRRL Y-27907. RNAcentral describes it as "Small nucleolar RNA R38". It matches the Rfam family "Small nucleolar RNA R38". From Rfam's summary of the family: snoR38 is a C/D box small nucleolar RNA conserved across yeast, human, Arabidopsis and rice. The record is from Rfam by way of RNAcentral. Lineage: Eukaryota; Fungi; Ascomycota; Pichiomycetes; Serinales; Debaryomycetaceae.